This 952-nucleotide non-coding RNA is filed under the name Schismatogobius ampluvinculus. RNAcentral's name for it is "12S ribosomal RNA". It matches the Rfam family "Bacterial small subunit ribosomal RNA". Lineage: Eukaryota; Metazoa; Chordata; Actinopteri; Gobiiformes; Gobiidae. The record is from RNAcentral.
CAAAAGCUUGGUCCUGGCUUUAAUGUCAGCUUUGAUUAGAUUUAUACAUGCAAGUAUCUGCGCCCCUGUGAGAAUGCCCAACAAUUUCCCCUUCGGAAAAAAGGAGCUGGUAUUAGGCACAACCCCAGUUUGCCCACGACGCCUUGCUAUGCCACACCCCCAAGGGCCCCCAGCAGUAAUAAACAUUAAGCAAUAAGUGUAAACUUGACUUAGUCAAUAUCAACCAGGGCCGGUUAAACUCGUGCCAGCCACCGCGGUUAUACGAGAGACCCAAGUUGACAGAGCUCGGCGUAAAGCGUGGUUAACAGAAAUGGAACUAAAGCCGAACACGCUCAAGGCUGUUAUACGCUUCUGAGUGUGGGAAGUCCACCAACGAAGGUGGCUUUAAUAAGGUGACCCCACGAAAAUUAGGAAACAAACUGGGAUUAGAUACCCCACUAUGCCUAAUUGUAAACAAAGGCAGAAACUCCCACUACACUGCCCGCCCGGGAACAACGAGCCCCAGCUUAAAACCCAAAGGACUUGGCGGUGCUUUAGACCCACCUAGAGGAGCCUGUUCUAGAAUCGAUACUCCCCGCUUGACCUCACCCUCUCUUGCUAUUUGCCGCCUAUAUACCGCCGUCGUCAGCUUACCCUAUGAAGGCUCCCCAGUAAGCAGGGUUGGCACAGCCCAAAACGUCAGGUCAAGGUGUAGCGCAUGGGGGGGGAAAGAAAUGGGCUACAUUUGCUGCCCCAGCAAAUAACGGACCACGUGAUGAAAUCAGACGUGCGAAGGAGGAUUUAGCAGUAAGAGGGGACAAGAGCGCCCUUCUGAAUAUGGCCCUGAAGCGCGCACACACCGCCCGUCACUCUCCCCAAACUCGACCAAAGCAAAUAACUAAUAAGAUAAGUUAAAAAAGGGGAGGCAAGUCGUAACAUGGUAAGUGUACCGGAAGGUGCACUUGGACAAACC